Molecule: long non-coding RNA, 306 nt
Filed under: Cavia porcellus (domestic guinea pig)
Lineage: Eukaryota; Metazoa; Chordata; Mammalia; Rodentia; Caviidae
Description: lncRNA (ENSCPOG00000030133.1)
Source: RNAcentral
UCUGGACCCCGCCUCCCAGCAGUCGUGAAGUUUUCUUAGUUGUUUGAGGCGGGAUUACUGCGCUGCGGGUGCGAGGUGAUUUUCCCGUCCGGGUUGCCUUGCGGAGGCUCCUGGCCAAUCCUGAGUAGUUAGGAGAAGAAUCUGUAAGGUGCUCUGAAAAGAGAGAAGAAAGUGGCAUUUUACUAUUCAGGAACGGGAAGGGCCUCAGAAGAAUGGGACUUUGCAGACCAAGGACAAGAGGCAGUAGGUAAGUAUUAAGUCAUGUUUGAGGCAUACUAGGUUAAAUAUCACAUGGUUUUUCUUAUA